CCUAAUCUAAUCCAUAAACAUAUUUUUAUUAGUAUUUAGCGAAUAAUAAAUUACAUAUACGAGAAAACAGAUCAAAAUGUGUAUACCUUUUUAAAGGAAUUAAUUUACUGCUGUUACGCUGAUAAUAGUACUCAAAUGCAUUUAAGGCUCUGCAUUAGGACGUAAUAGAUCCAGCAGGAACAGUUUUGGUUAUCCACCACCACCACCACCACCACCAAGAAAAGUCGAAAAAUGCCAAUGCUUACCUGUUUUCCCAUUUGCGUAGUUUCUGGGGUGCAUUUGCGCAAUGCGCAUGACGCAGCUCUAAAACCCCGGACUCGAUGCAGUGCCGGAUUUAUGAAUUGACGUCGUCGCAGCGAAUUGGGUCAGCAGCGUUGUAAUAGGCGCCAGGGAGGGGGAAGUGCGUAACAGUGUUGCGAUUUAAAACGCAAUUGCCAAUAUACAAGAAAUUAUUGUUACAUUAAAAACGUUUAUUAACUUAGAAUGAACCAAAUUUGUAGCCUGGGCUAUUAUAUAUAUAUAUUAUAAUAUCGAGCAAACUUUGUGUUAAUGUUGGGCUGAAGAUGCCGCAAUAAAGACGCAAAACUUAGUUUAAUAAUUAAA
This is a non-coding RNA of Drosophila virilis, 603 nucleotides long. The record is from RefSeq and is a predicted model, not a curated record. NCBI's taxonomy places the organism in Eukaryota, Metazoa, Arthropoda, Insecta, Diptera, Drosophilidae.